RNAcentral lists this ribosomal RNA (305 nucleotides) under uncultured bacterium. RNAcentral describes it as "bacterial SSU rRNA". It matches the Rfam family "Bacterial small subunit ribosomal RNA", at positions 333 to 636 of the family's 1533-position model. The record is from RNAcentral.
UGGGUCCUACGGGACGCAGCAGUGAGGAAUAUUGGUCAAUGGUCGGGAGACUGAACCAGCCAAGCCGCGUGAGGGAUGAAGGUACAGAGUAUCGUAAACCUCUUUUGUCAGGGAACAAAGGCGGGGACGUGUCCCCGGAUGAGUGUACCUGAAGAAAAAGCAUCGGCUAACUCCGUGCCAGCAGCCGCGGUAAUACGGAGGAUGCGAGCGUUAUCCGGAUGUAUUGGGUUUAAAGGGUGCGCAGGCGGUCGGUUAAGUCAGCGGUCAAAGCCCGGGGCUCAACCCCGGCCCGCCGUGGUAACUGG